This 945-nucleotide ribosomal RNA is filed under the name uncultured organism. Its description in RNAcentral is "bacterial SSU rRNA". It matches the Rfam family "Bacterial small subunit ribosomal RNA", at positions 1 to 917 of the family's 1533-position model. The record is from RNAcentral.
UGGAUCCAGACUUUGAUCCUGGCUCAGGACGAACGCUGGCGGCGUGCUUAACACAUGCAAGUCGUACGAGACGAUUGAAAGCUUGCUUUUGAGAGUCGAGUGGCAAACGGGUGAGUAACGCGUAGACAACCUGCCGUAAAGAUGGGGACAACAGUUCGAAAGGACUGCUAAUACCGAAUGUUGUAGAGUUUCCGCAUGGGGAUCCUACUAAAGGUGGCCUCUACUUGUAAGCUAUCGCUUUACGAUGGGUCUGCGUCUGAUUAGCUAGUUGGUGGGGUAACGGCUUACCAAGGCGACGAUCAGUAGCCGGUCUGAGAGGAUGAACGGCCACAUUGGAACUGAGACACGGUCCAGACUCCUACGGGAGGCAGCAGUGGGGAAUCUUCCGCAAUGGGCGCAAGCCUGACGGAGCAACGCCGCGUGAGUGAAGAAGGGUUUCGACUCGUAAAGCUCUGUUGUCGGGGACGAAUGUGGAGAUGGUGAAUAACCAUUUCCAAUGACGGUACCUGACGAGGAAGCCACGGCUAACUACGUGCCAGCAGCCGCGGUAAUACGUAGGUGGCGAGCGUUGUCCGGAAUUAUUGGGCGUAAAGGGAGCGCAGGCGGGAGGUCAAGUCUAUCUUAAAAGUGCGGGGCUCAACCCCGUGAGGGGAUGGAAACUGGUCUUCUUGAGUGCAGGAGAGGAAAGCGGAAUUCCUAGUGUAGCGGUGAAAUGCGUAGAUAUUAGGAGGAACACCAGUGGCGAAGGCGGCUUUCUGGACUGUAACUGACGCUGAGGCUCGAAAGCGUGGGGAGCGAACAGGAUUAGAUACCCUGGUAGUCCACGCCGUAAACGAUGAAUGCUAGGUGUAGGAGGUAUCGACCCCUCCUGUGCCGGAGUUAACGCAAUAAGCAUUCCGCCUGGGGAGUACGGCCGCAAGGCUGCAACUCAAAUGAAUUGACGGA